Molecule: ribosomal RNA, 457 nt
Filed under: uncultured bacterium
Lineage: Bacteria
Description: bacterial SSU rRNA
Rfam family: Bacterial small subunit ribosomal RNA
Source: RNAcentral
UACGGGAGGCAGCAGUGGGGAAUAUUGCACAAUGGGCGAAAGCCUGAUGCAGCUAUGCCGCGUGUAUGAAGAAGGCCUUAGGGUUGUAAAGUACUUUCAUCGGGGAGGAAAAACAAACUAAUAAUUUUAUUUCUUGACGUUACCCGAAAAAGAAGCACCGGCUAACUCCGUGCCAGCAGCCGCGGUAAUACGGAGGGUGCUAGCGUUAAUCAGAAUUACUGGGCGUAAAGAGCACGUAGGUGGUUUUUUUAAGUCAGAUGUGAAAUCCCUGGGCUUAACCUAGGAACUGCAUUUUGAAACUGAAAUACUAGAGUAUCGUAGAGGGAGGUAGAAUUCUAGGUGUAGCGGUGAAAUGCGUAGAUAUCUGGAGGAAUACCUGUGGCGAAAGCGGCCUCCUAAACGAAUACUGACACUGAGGUGCGAAAGCGUGGGGAGCAAACAGGGAUUAGAUACCCGU